Molecule: ribosomal RNA, 497 nt
Filed under: uncultured bacterium
Lineage: Bacteria
Description: partial 16S ribosomal RNA
Rfam family: Bacterial small subunit ribosomal RNA
Source: RNAcentral
GAUGAACGCUGGCGGCGUGCCUAAUACAUGCAAGUCGAGCGAACAGACGAGGAGCUUGCUCCUCUGACGUUAGCGGCGGACGGGUGAGUAACACGUGGAUAACCUACCUAUAAGACUGGGAUAACUUCGGGAAACCGGAGCUAAUACCGGAUAAUAUAUUGAACCGCAUGGUUCAAUAGUGAAAGACGGUUUUGCUGUCACUUAUAGAUGGAUCAGCGCCGCAUUAGCUAGUUGGUAAGGUAACGGCUUACCAAGGCAACGAUGCGUAGCCGACCUGAGAGGGUGAUCGGCCACACUGGAACUGAGACACGGUCCAGACUCCUACGGGAGGCAGCAGUAGGGAAUCUUCCGCAAUGGGCGAAAGCCUGACGGAGCAACGCCGCGUGAGUGAUGAAGGUCUUCGGAUCGUAAAACUCUGUUAUUGGGGAAGAACAAAUGUGUAGGUAACUAUGCACGUCUUGACGGUACCUAAUCAGAAAGCCACGGCUAACUACGUG